GGGAGACUGUGAAACGGCGACGCCAGUUGUCGUGGAGUCAACGUUGAAAUACCACUCUGGUCGUACUAGAUAUCUAACCUAGGUCCAUUAUCUGGAUCAGGGACAGUGCCUGAUGGGUAGUUUAACUGGGGCGGUUGCCUCCUAAAAUGUAACGGAGGCGCUCAAAGGUUCCCUCAGCCUGGUUGGCAAUCAGGUUUCGAGUGUAAGUGCACAAGGGAGCUUGACUGUGAGAGUGACAACUCGAGCAGGGACGAAAGUCGGAACUAGUGAUCCGGCGCUGGCAUGUGGAAGCGGCGUCGCUCAACGGAUAAAAGGUACCCCGGGGAUAACAGGCUGAUCUUCCCCAAGAGUCCAUAUCGACGGGAUGGUUUGGCACCUCGAUGUCGGCUCGUCGCAUCCUGGGGCUGGAGUAGGUCCCAAGGGUUGGGCUGUUCGCCCAUUAAAGCGGCACGCGAGCUGGGUUUAGAACGUCGUGAGACAGUUCGGUCCCUAUCCGCCGCGCGCGCAGGAAACUUGAGAAAGGCUGUCCCUAGUACGAGAGGACCGGGAUGGACGAACCUCUGGUGUGCCAGUUGUUCCGCCAGGAGCACGGCUGGUUAGCUACGUUCGGAAGUGAUAACCGCUGAAUGCAUCUAAGCGGGAAGCACGUUUCAAGAUGAGGUUUCCCACCGGGUUAACCGGGUAAGGUCCCCAGUAGACUACUGGGUUGAUAGGCCGGAGGUGUACAGCAGCAAUGCCUAGCCGACCGGUACUAAUAGACCGAGGGCUUGUCCCUCAA
Molecule: ribosomal RNA, 778 nt
Filed under: Nocardioides sp. Soil796
Lineage: Bacteria; Bacillati; Actinomycetota; Actinomycetes; Propionibacteriales; Nocardioidaceae
Description: bacterial LSU rRNA
Rfam family: Bacterial large subunit ribosomal RNA
Source: RNAcentral